UUCGAAGGAGCUUGACUGCAAGACUCACCUGUCGAGCAGAGACGAAAGUCGGCCUUAGUGAUCCGACGGUGCCGAGUGGAAGGGCCGUCGCUCAA
RNAcentral lists this non-coding RNA (95 nucleotides) under Triticum urartu. Its description in RNAcentral is "Bacterial large subunit ribosomal RNA". It matches the Rfam family "Bacterial large subunit ribosomal RNA", at positions 2358 to 2452 of the family's 2925-position model. The record is from Rfam by way of RNAcentral. Lineage: Eukaryota; Viridiplantae; Streptophyta; Magnoliopsida; Poales; Poaceae.